GGUAAAUUCGUCUUUUCAUGUGUCAUUUAACACCGUGAGUGGUCAAAAUGGAUGGAAGUGUUACAAAGGGAACAAAUUUUAGCAUUCGUGCUAGAUAAGGAAGAAUUUUUUAUGCGGUGUCAAAUAAGGCAAAAUAUUUUAAGCCAGUGUUAAAUAAGGAAUUCUCUCUAUUACAAAUUAGUGUUCUAGUGUGGGUUUCGCGUGGCCGUGUCAAUAUUUUUUGCUGAAGCUACAACCUAACACUGACCUUAAUUUCUGUUUAAGAAACUAAUAAUUGUGGUGUGCGGUGUGCCUCAAUAGUCAUUGCUGUAAAAUGGUAAAGAAAUAGGGAUUAGCUAAUACGUCCCUCUAUGAAACAGUUGGUGUUAUUGCUUUUGAUGGCUAAAAGGAUGCAUCUUACUUACCUCACUACAUUAGGUUUAUAACCCGUUCCAGGAUUUUGUGCAGGAGAGUUCGGUCUCAGGGUUGCACAAGGUUUACUG
RNAcentral lists this long non-coding RNA (482 nucleotides) under Hordeum vulgare. Its description in RNAcentral is "long non-coding RNA (HVUL_LNC016226)". Lineage: Eukaryota; Viridiplantae; Streptophyta; Magnoliopsida; Poales; Poaceae. The record is from RNAcentral.